UACGUAGGGUGCGAGCGUUGUCCGGAAUUAUUGGGCGUAAAGAGCUCGUAGGCGGUUUGUCGCGUCUAUCGUGAAAACUGGAGGCUUAACUUUCAGCGUGCGGUGGAUACGGGCAGACUUGAGUUCGGUAGGGGAGACUGGAAUUCCUGGUGUAGCGGUGAAAUGCGCAGAUAUCAGGAAGAACACCCGUGGCUAAGGCGGCUCUCUAGUACGGUACUGACGCUGAGACGCGAAAGCGUGGGGAGCGAACAGG
Molecule: ribosomal RNA, 253 nt
Filed under: uncultured bacterium
Lineage: Bacteria
Description: partial 16S ribosomal RNA
Rfam family: Bacterial small subunit ribosomal RNA
Source: RNAcentral